RNAcentral lists this ribosomal RNA (332 nucleotides) under uncultured Bacillota bacterium. RNAcentral's name for it is "bacterial SSU rRNA". It matches the Rfam family "Bacterial small subunit ribosomal RNA", at positions 28 to 351 of the family's 1533-position model. Lineage: Bacteria; Bacillati; Bacillota. The record is from RNAcentral.
GACGAACGCUGGCGGCGUGCUUAACACAUGCAUGUCGAGCGAGAUUUUGAAACUAGCUUGCUAGUUUCAAAUGAGAGCGGCGGAUGGGUGAGUAACGCGUGGGCAAUCUGCCCUGUGGAGAGGGAUAGCCUCGGGAAACCGGGAUUAAUACCUUAUGAUGUUAGAUUUUCACAUGAAGAUCUAAUCAAAGAUUUAUCGCCACAGGAUGAGCCCGCGUCCCAUUAGCUAGUUGGUGAGAUAACAGCUCACCAAGGCAACGAUGGGUAGCCGACCUGAGAGGGUGAACGGCCACACUGGGACUGAGACACGGCCCAGACUCCUACGGGAGGCAG